AUACGUAGGGGGCGAGCGUUGUCCGGAAUGAUUGGGCGUAAAGGGCGCGUAGGCGGCCUGUUAAGUCUGGAGUGAAAGUCCUGUUUUCAAGAUGGGAAUUGCUUUGGAUACUGAUGGGCUUGAGUGCAGGAGAGGUUAUCGGAAUUCCCGGUGUAGCGGUGAAAUGCGUAGAGAUCGGGGGGAACACCAGUGGCGAAGGCGGGUAUCUGGACUGCAACUGACGCUGAGGCGCGAAAGUGUGGGGAGCAAACAGGAUUAGAUACCCUGGUAGUCCACACUGUAAACGAUGAAUGCUAGGUGUAAGAGGUAUCGACCCCUUUUGUGCCGGAGUUAACACAAUAAGCAUUCCGCCUGGGGAGUACGGCCGCAAGGUUGAAACUCAAAUGAAUUGACGGGG
This 397-nucleotide ribosomal RNA is filed under the name uncultured bacterium. Its description in RNAcentral is "partial 16S ribosomal RNA". It matches the Rfam family "Bacterial small subunit ribosomal RNA", at positions 523 to 918 of the family's 1533-position model. The record is from RNAcentral.